Hyla sarda is the source of this 654-nucleotide long non-coding RNA. RefSeq lists it as uncharacterized. NCBI's taxonomy places the organism in Eukaryota, Metazoa, Chordata, Amphibia, Anura, Hylidae. The record is from RefSeq and is a predicted model, not a curated record. The transcript has 5 exons.
CGGGGCUGAGCUGGAGGAGAGGUCACAUGUCACAUGUAAUUACCUGGAAGGAGAUUUGUUACAGUGUGCCACCCCAGUAGUAAGGAGAUUACAUGUGGAGGAGUUAGAAAAGGAGAAAUUGAUAAAAAGAAGUGAAAUCCAGAUUGACAUGGUGACCUUGUAUCUGCAGGAGUUGGGACAAGACUGUCAAUCUUUCAUUCUCUGUUGAACAAGAUAAUAAAGUCGAGGACCUGAAACCAGCCAUAGUGAAAAUCUACGAUUACUAUGAGACAGAUGAACAUGCAGUUGCAGAAUACAAUUCCCCUUGCAUUGGACAUAACUAAUACAAAUCAAGGAAACAAAAACAAUCAAAACUCAUUAUAUGUGCACGUUUGUUAGCAUUUUUACUGGGCCAGUGUAUCUAGAAAGAAAACGAUGCAAAAAAAACUAUGUAACUCUGGACAGUUCCUGACUGGACAGAGGUGUCAGCAGAGAGCACUGUGGUCAGACAGAAAAGAAAUUCAAAAAGAAAAGAACUUGCUGUGGAGCAUACAGCAGCUGAUAGGUAACCGACUAUAUGUGCAAUGUCGGCACGUCUACAGGCUUCAGAGCAGAAGUUCAAUACCAGAUUCAUAAAAACCUAAAUAAAUAAAACAUUUAGUUAUAUAUGCAAAA